GCGGUCGUGGCGGAACUGGUAGACGCACUACCUUGAGGUGGUAGCGGGGCAACCCGUGGAGGUUCGAGUCCUCUCGACCGCACCA
RNAcentral lists this transfer RNA (85 nucleotides) under Pseudomonadota bacterium. RNAcentral describes it as "Proteobacteria bacterium tRNA-Leu". It matches the Rfam family "tRNA". From Rfam's summary of the family: Transfer RNA (tRNA) molecules are approximately 80 nucleotides in length. Their secondary structure includes four short double-helical elements and three loops (D, anti-codon, and T loops). RNAcentral also lists the same sequence under 1 other name. The record is from RNAcentral. Lineage: Bacteria; Pseudomonadati; Pseudomonadota.